Molecule: long non-coding RNA, 1055 nt
Organism: Poecilia latipinna (sailfin molly)
Lineage: Eukaryota; Metazoa; Chordata; Actinopteri; Cyprinodontiformes; Poeciliidae
Exons: 3
Source: RefSeq, a predicted model, not a curated record
CGCGUGAAUUCCCUGUAAACCAGCGGCAGCUACUCCUUCCCACAGGAUGGGUGGUUUCCAACGCCGCUUCCUGGUUCAGGUUACCGCCGGGAAUCGUAUGACCUUGAGCCUGCUCAUCUUUCCCCCUCCCCCCCACGCUCCUUUAAGACUUAUUGCAACCUGGGGCUUUAAGCGUUAUUCAUGGAUUCACACAGUCGGCCUCAGUGUCAAAAGAAAACACUGAAGUCAGUAGAAUGUUGUGCAUCGAGCCUGUAGCUGCUGAACAGAAGAGGCAGAGUGAGCUUUCAGGAGAUGUGGAGAGAGCUCUCAAUUAAAGAAAGAGAAAGUGACGCGCCCCUGCUGAAAAAGUCAACUUUUGGUCGUUAACGUGUGGCAUCGAGUUCAUCGCUGAAACAGGAGGAAAAACAUCAUGUGCACGGUGACGGAAGUUUGAGGUUUCGGCUUUUAUCGCCACCCAAAUCUCCUGCUUGAUCUGUUUGGGGUUUCCUGUGUAAGUCACCAUCAUGUGCCCUAAAGGACUGCGCGCACAAACGCUCACAGACGCAAAGAGCUAAAAACCCAGUUUGGCUUUAUUCCAAGUAAAGCCUUAAAGUCUUUAAACUGACACAAACGCAUUCAAGCAGACAUGUCGGCCUUUCCGUCACCAGUUUCAGUCUCUAAACUGGGACUUCUUGACACAUUGUCGCUGUGAGUCAUCGCACAACGGCACGCAAAUGGGAAAUGAUACGGCAAAUACUGAUCGCCCGGGAUCAGAUGUUGCUCAUCUGUGACUGCUGCCGCAUUUCCCAGAGCCACAAAUACAGCAGCGGCUGCUCACACGCUGACGGAAACAGCCGAUGAGGGCCAGCCCCGCAAUCCUCAAAUGGCUCCCGGUGAUCCCCUGCAAACCUGCUGAAGAGCCCACCUAAAUGAGGCGGAGAAGGGAAACUCCUUCCCUUCGCCUCGCUCCGUGUGGAAGCGAGAGCUCAGAGGGGAAAAUCUUGUGCCACCAUUGUUAGCUCUAAAAAAAAAAAAAAAAAAAAAAUGUUUAAACGCUGCAGGGAUGAGAGUCAGCA